This 253-nucleotide ribosomal RNA is filed under the name uncultured bacterium. RNAcentral describes it as "partial 16S ribosomal RNA". It matches the Rfam family "Bacterial small subunit ribosomal RNA", at positions 524 to 776 of the family's 1533-position model. The record is from RNAcentral.
UACGGAGGGAGCUAGCGUUAUCCGGAAUGAUUGGGCGUAAAGCGUCUGUAGGUGGCUUUUUAAGUCCGCCGUCAAAUCCCAGGGCUCAACUCUGGACAGGCGGUGGAAACUACCAAGCUGGAGUACGGUAGGGGCAGAGGGAAUUUCCGGUGGAGCGGUGAAAUGCGUAGAGAUCGGAAAGAACACCAACGGCGAAGGCAGCUCGCUGGGACGGUACUGACGCUGAGGCGCGAAAGCGUGGGGAGCAAACAGG